This is a small nuclear RNA of Eptesicus fuscus (big brown bat), 104 nucleotides long. The record is from RefSeq and is a predicted model, not a curated record. Lineage: Eukaryota; Metazoa; Chordata; Mammalia; Chiroptera; Vespertilionidae.
GUGCUCGCUUCGGCAGCACAUGUACUAAAAUUGGGAUGAUACAGAGGUUAGCAUGGCCCCUACCCAAGGAUGACAAACAAAUUCGUGAAUCAUUCCACAUUUUG